This is a non-coding RNA of Solanum tuberosum (potato), 1412 nucleotides long. NCBI's taxonomy places the organism in Eukaryota, Viridiplantae, Streptophyta, Magnoliopsida, Solanales, Solanaceae. The record is from RefSeq and is a predicted model, not a curated record.
AAAUUUAAAAACACUUUGAGAUAUUAGUUUUUAUUAAUUAUAAUCUGCAAAGUGGCAACUACUAAAUCUUUUUUAAUUUUAAUUUUUAUGAUAUUAGCAACUACUAGUUCAACAUUUGCUACGUUGGGAGAAAUGGUGACUGUUCUUAGUAUUGAUGGAGGUUGAAUUAAGGGAAUCAUUCCGGCUACCAUUCUCGAAUUUCUUGAAGGACAACUUCAGAAAGUGGACAAUAAUAAAGAUGCAAGACUUGCAGAUUACUUUGAUGUAAUUGGAGGAACAAGUACAGGAGGUUUAUUGACUGCUAUAAUAACUACUCCAAAUGAAAACAAUCGACCCUUUGCUGCUGCCAAGGAUAUUGUACCUUUUUACUUCGAACAUGGCCCUCAUAUUUUUAAUAAUAGUGGUUCAAUUUUUGGCCCAAAAUAUGAUGGAAAAUAUCUUAUGCAAGUUCUUCAAGAAAAACUUGGAGAAACUCGUGUGCAUCAAGCUUUGACAGAAGUUGCCAUCUCAAGCUUUGACAUCAAAACAAAUAAGCCAGUAAUAUUCACUAAGUCAAAUUUAGCAAAUGCUCCAGAAUUGGAUGCUAAGAUGUAUGACAUAUGUUAUUCCACAGCAGCAGCUCCAAUAUAUUUUCCUCCACAUUACUUUACUACUCAUACUAGUAAUGGUGAUAUAUAUGAGUUCAAUCUUGUUGAUGGUGGUGUUGCUACUGUUGGUGAUCCGGCGUUAUUAUCCCUUAGCGUUGCAACGAAACUUGCACAAGUGGAUCCAAAAUUUGCUUCAAUUAAGUCAUUGGAUUACAAGCAAAUGUUGUUGCUCUCAUUAGGCACUGGCACUAAUUCAGAGUUUGAUAAAACAUAUACAGCAGAAGAGGCAGCUAAAUGGGGUCCUCUACGAUGGAUGUUAGCUAUACAGCAAAUGACUAAUGCAGCAAGUUCUUACAUGACUGAUUAUUACAUUUCUACUGUUUUUCAAGCUCGUCAUUCACAAAACAAUUACCUCAGGGUUCAAGAAAAUGCAUUAACAGGCACAACUACUGAAAUGGAUGAUGCGUCUGAGGCUAAUAUGGAUUUAUUAGUACAAGUUGGUGAAACAUUAUUGAAGAAACCAGUUUCCAAAGACAGUCCUGAAAACCUAUGAGGAAGCUCUAAAGAGAUUUGCAAAAUUGCUCUCUGAUAGGAAGAAACUCCGAGCAAACAAAGCUUCUUAUUAAUUCAAGGUCCCGGGUUGUAGUAGUAAAUAAUAAACGCUUGCAAUAUUUAUGAUUGCACGCAUUUAAGUAUUUCAACCUCAAAAUAAAAGGAGUUUGAGGGAUAAAUUUCAAUAGAAAUGUCUCUCUAUGUAAUGUGUGCUUGGAUUAUGUAACCUUUUGGUUGUGUUAAAUAUUUAAAUAAAUUGUCGUUAUUUUAUGC